This 145-nucleotide transfer RNA is filed under the name Pyrenophora teres f. teres. RNAcentral describes it as "tRNA-Gly". The record is from RNAcentral. Lineage: Eukaryota; Fungi; Ascomycota; Dothideomycetes; Pleosporales; Pleosporaceae.
GCAUCGGUGGUUUAGUGGUAAAAUUAGCCGUUGCCAUCCAGCUUCUGCAGCAGGACAGUUUCGGCUAGCCCCGGGUUCGGUAAGUUUACUUGAAUCCACUCUUCGAUUAUCAGCUCUAACGUCCCCUAGAUUCCCGGCCGAUGCA